UGAGGAAUAUUGCGCAAUGGAGGAAACUCUGACGCAGCAAUACCGCGUGAGCGAUGAAGUCUCUAGGGAUGUAAAGCUCUGUCAAGUGGGAAGAUAAUGACGGUACCACUAAAGGAAGCUCCGGCUAACUACGUGCCAGCAGCCGCGGUAAUACGUAGGGAGCGAGCGUUAUCCGGAAUUACUGGGCUUAAAGUGCAUGUAGGCGGUAAAUUAAGUCAGGUGUCAAAUCCAUCAGCUCAACUGAUGUACGCACUUGAUACUGGUUUACUAGAGGCUAAUAGAGGGAAGUGGAACUCAUGGUGUAGCGGUGAAAUGCGUAGAUAUCAUGAGGAACCCCAGUGACGAAGGUGACUUCCUGGAUUAUGCCUGACGCUGAGAUGCGAAAGCGUGGGGAGCGAACG
This 401-nucleotide ribosomal RNA is filed under the name uncultured marine cyanobacterium. RNAcentral's name for it is "bacterial SSU rRNA". It matches the Rfam family "Bacterial small subunit ribosomal RNA", at positions 355 to 774 of the family's 1533-position model. The record is from RNAcentral. Lineage: Bacteria; Bacillati; Cyanobacteriota.